Hyaena hyaena (striped hyena) is the source of this 550-nucleotide long non-coding RNA. RefSeq lists it as uncharacterized. NCBI's taxonomy places the organism in Eukaryota, Metazoa, Chordata, Mammalia, Carnivora, Hyaenidae. The record is from RefSeq and is a predicted model, not a curated record. The transcript is spliced from 3 exons.
GCCACAAAGAAUACCAGUUCCUAUAAGACUGGCUGUCUGGGAUGACACUUGGUUCAAGUAUUCUGAAACCUAUCAGAUGCUCAAACAAAACCAUCAAUACCCCUUGGUUAACGAGAUAAGAUUACUGCAAGCAAAUUAGUCAAGGAUAUAUUGCAGCUAUUUGCCAACGAGGCCUUGACUUUAUCAGGUAAAUCUGAUAUGUGAGCCUGCGGGAUUAGAGAUGAAAUUACUCAUGGAAGAAGCUGGCAUUUCAAGGAAAAUAACAUGUGCUCUCUGAGAACCUCUUAAAGUUUGGCCAGAAGUUCUUACCAACCCUCUGUGCUGGCUGAAUGCCUAAUUUCUGGAGAAUUCAAACAUGUUAAAGACAUUCCAAACCCAUGAUUGUCAAGAAACUCUCAAAUGAGGAUGGAUGGCCAGAGACAUUGUGAAAGCAGAAGGAGAGGAACAUGAUAACCGGGCAUUGAUCUCUUUCUGGUAUCCUGAAGUUUGUCAUGAUGCAGUCAGAACAAACGUCUCUCAACAGUAUGUCCAGUAGCCUUUCUCUCACUCU